CUCGGUCCCUGGAGACACUAGCACUUGAAGCACUGAGCCACCAUGGAAGAAGUCUGACUACCUUGAGGCCUAAUGUUGAGGAGGCCACACAUAGGUCCUCUGGUCAACAGUCCCAGCUGAAUCUGUCCUUCAGCAUUGCCACCCAGGCGCCAGACAUGCAAGUAAAUAAGCACCUUAGGAGUGUAUCUUCCAACUCCAGCUGUUCCAGUCCCAGCCAUUCAAGUCAUCCCAGCUCUAAAUAUCACAGGACAGAGAAAACCCAACCCUGCUAUCCUCUGUCUGAAUUCCUGACCCACAGAAUUUCCUUUCCGACUCUACUGUCUGCCACACAGCACUUCUGACCAGCCAAGUACAUGCAAGCAAGCCUUGAGAGACCUCAGAGCAAAGCGGUUCAGAUGUGUGUCUGACGGCCAGGAGAAAGAUGGCGGCCAGAGUUCUACAUUUGGAAGUUAACAGCAGACCGGUUGAUUUAAAAUCUGUGAGAACAGAAGAAAAUGCCCAAUGAUUGUGCGGGUAGGAGAACCUAAAACAAACGUGGUGGACAGAAACGCUAAAGCAGCCGGCAGGGUAGGAAGGGGAGUAGGGGGAACUCACAAAAGGGCACCCAAAGAAGGGCCCAGUGUAGAAACCAUCGGUAACCUUUUCCCAAGAGGUUUUAGGGGAGAGUGGAGACAGAAUUCAGACUGCAGUGAGUUUUAAAGAGAAGUUGGACUGAAGACACAUAGAGCAGUGAUCAUUGAUAAUCCUUUUAAGGAGAUUGGCGGGGAAGGAAAAGCGUCCAGACAGGCUUGGCAGCCUUAAUUGCUCCCUCUCCACCCUUGGGCAAGGCUGCAUGCCCCCUAUAAAUGGAGUGUGGACUCUAGGUAUGCGGACCUUGAGAAAUCUCUUUGCUCUGGCUCCCAUCCAAUUUCCUGAAACUUUCGGCUCUAUCUUCCUAUCCCUUCCUUAACCCCCGUCUGUUUUUUCCCUCUCUGCCCAGUAUGUUUUGGAUUGACACUGUGUUUGACUGUCUCUUUGGUUCUCACCCUUUUUCCUGAGACACUGCCCUCAGUUCCUUUUUUAUUCUGUGUCCUGAGGCUCUAGUCCAGCCCCUCCCUAUCUGGGCACCCAGACCCCAACUCCUGGCCUCCCUGAGCCUCCUAGUUUGGAGCAGAAGUGGUUCAGAAGCAGAGAGAUAGAUGCAAGAUAGAGGAGGAUAGAGUCAAGGAAGGAGGUGUCAGUUGGUUGUACUCUCACAGAGACUGGUCAAAGGGAAAGAACCAGCGGGGUGGGGGUAAAUGCAGCAGUGGGGGGUAAAUGUAGGAGAGGGGAGGAAAAGCUGCAGGGGCAAGUUUCCUGAGUGAGUGGGAUGGGGUUAAGGAGAUAAGUGGAGGUCUUGACCAGAGGAGGGAAACCUUCAGCCUCUGAGAUAAUAGAGAAGGAGAAGACAAUGAGGGUGGGUGCAGUUACGCUUGUAGGAGGUAAGGGUUUCGCUGAGAGAGGUGUGGAGGUGGGCAACAGGUUUGAACUUGUGAAGAUUUGCAUGGUCGCUCAGGGAAAAGGAAGAGUAAACUAAGCAAGGAGCAGGAUUUUGAGUUUCACUGUGAGACCAGUGGAAGCUGGAGACGCAGCACUUGUAGUGGUGCCUGUUGUACCGUGUGUCAUUUUCUCCAGAAGAGUGUUAGCCCAUGAAGACAAUCUUUCAUGAGCCAGGCUGACCAUCAGUCCUGGGGAUUAAGGUCAGUAUUCCCUGGACGUGCCUUGGUUCCUGCCUAAGGGUCAGAUGCACUGUCCUUAGGACUCUGGAGGAAUCAAUGGAAGAACCUUAAUGUCCCUCCAACUCAUCUCUUGUCUUUAUGAAAGGAAGACAAUGCUCUGCAGGCAACACAGAUGAAUUUGACAGGAGAAUAGUAAACCAUGUGGUUUACUGCAUGCUGGUCCUGCCCUGAUUGAGCCCUAAUGAGACCGAGCCUGCUUGGGGGGAUCCCUGCUACAACUGGAAAUUCUCAUGGCUCUUGCGGCCCAUUUUCCAAUAGAGACUGAGCGUGUGGCCUUCCUUGUCUUUGCCACUCAGAACGGGGAGUAACCUGGGUAAGAACUAUGAGUGAUUCUGAGGCAGGCUGUGCUCCAUGGAUGAAGUUUGAUCCAGGUGGAGGGUACCACCUGGGCCAUUCACAAGCUCCAGCAGGGUCACGAUCUUGUCAACCACUUUGCAACUGGGCUCCAGAUCCUGGCCCCUGAGCUGGCUGGACAGCGCUGCUCUGGGUAUCAUUUCCAACAGCCUGGCUGGGCCCUCCACGAUGAACUGUCUGAGGUUGCUCAGGGGCUAAAGGCAUAGCUGCUGCUGUUCUCUGUAAUGGAGAACCACUCUGCACAAGAGAGCUCUGCCAGGGAACCCCUCCUCCACCACCAGGAAAUGACGUGUUCCCUCAGCUGGGAGGGAAGCCAGCUAGGACUGAAGGGAUCUCCCCUCCUUUCCUUGCCAGUCCUACCUUCCUGGGAACGUUCUGGCACCCCUAUGGCUACAGGGAGCCAAAGCUCCCUUGUAGCCCAGGCCCUUAAAGUCACAAGGUUCCAAAUGCAAACGACAAAAAAAUAUGAGCCAAACAUCCACACAUUCCCAAACAAAGUGCUAGACCACCUGUGCAGAGCCUGCUGACCUGGCCAUCACCCUUCUCUACCCUGUAGAAGAGUGAAGAGGAAGAAGCUGGCGGAGGACUGACGCAGAGACAGUGCGUGGUGUGACGUGCAUCCUGCCUCAUCCAUGUUGGCUGCGGAGUGGGGGUUUCCUCCUCACCAAGAGGAAGGGGCUUCAAGGGAACUCCCAGCUAGUUUGACACCUCCUCAUGGCUGGCUAACUAAUUUGUGGGGCCCAGUGCAAAAUGCAAACGUGGGGCCCCUUGUUCAAAAAGCAAGGAAAAAAAAUGGCAUUAAAAGUACCAAAUUAUUAAAAAAAUAAAUAAAAGUGGGCUGUACACUUGCUCCCAGAAACAAAUCCUGUUGAAACAGAUUUUUGGGCAAAAAUCAAGGCCGGGAUUCUUUAGGAAUUAAGACACCAGGCACCAUGGUAGGCGUUUUACAUGUUAUCUUGUUGAACCUUCAUGACAAUCCUCUUGUUUUUACAGUUGUCCAGGGUCACGCAGGUAGUCAGUGGUAGAGACAGGAUGUGGGCCCAGGUUUUACAUGCUCCAAAGUCUGGAUUCUUCCCAUUGUACUUCAGCGUCUCCCAUGCAAGAUGGCAAAGGGGAGAAUGCUGGCACUUUCUGAGCAUGUACUUGUGGCAGCUCUGUGCUUGAUGGAGUUGGUCCAGCUCUUUGAAGAUGAGCUUCUGCUUCUGAAGGACCCUCUUCCAGGCCCUUCGCAUAUGCACAUGAUCUCCACUGUUCACUGCAGCCUCUGACCACCAGGCAGAGGAGCUGGAAUGCUGGUGGAGAAAGGAACAGAAAUGUGUCUCAUUCUCUCAUGCAGUAUUUGUACGGUAUUUAAUUGAGCCCUCCUCCUUUGCACCCCUGAAUUCCCAGGGCAAUUGUGCCUGUCUCUCUCUUUCUUUUAACCUCCUCUUUGUCCCGGGCCAGCAAAAUUUAAUGAAAAGACAACUGAGA
This is a long non-coding RNA of Equus asinus (donkey), 3581 nucleotides long. The record is from Ensembl. NCBI's taxonomy places the organism in Eukaryota, Metazoa, Chordata, Mammalia, Perissodactyla, Equidae.